Molecule: ribosomal RNA, 377 nt
Filed under: uncultured bacterium
Lineage: Bacteria
Description: bacterial SSU rRNA
Rfam family: Bacterial small subunit ribosomal RNA
Source: RNAcentral
AUACGUAGGUGGCAAGCGUUGUCCGGAAUUAUUGGGCGUAAAGCGCGCGCAGGCGGUCCUUUAAGUCUGAUGUGAAAGCCAACGGCUCAACCGUGGAGGGUCAUUGGAAACUGGGGGACUUGAGUACAGAAGAGGAGAGUGGAAUUCCACGUGUAGCGGUGAAAUGCGUGGAGAUGUGGAGGAACACCAGUGGCGAAGGCGGCUCUCUGGUCUGUAACUGACGCUGAGGCGCGAAAGCGUGGGUAGCGAACAGGAUUAGAUACCCUGGUAGUCCACGCCGUAAACGAUGAGUGCUAAGUGUUAGAGGGUUUCCGCCCUUUAGUGCUGCAGCAAACGCAUUAAGCACUCCGCCUGGGGAGUACGGCCGCAAGGCUGAA